GUGAGGAAUAUUGGUCAAUGGGCGCAAGCCUGAACCAGCCAUCCCGCGUGCAGGAAGAAGGCGCUAUGCGUUGUAAACUGCUUUUCCAGGGGAAGAAAAUGCCGUACGUGUACGGAACUGACGGUACCUUGGGAAUAAGCAUCGGCUAACUCCGUGCCAGCAGCCGCGGUAAUACGGAGGAUGCAAGCGUUAUCCGGAUUCAUUGGGUUUAAAGGGUGCGUAGGCGGACAAAUAAGUCAGUGGUGAAAACCUGCAGCUUAACUGUAGACGUGCCAUUGAUACUGUUAGUCUUGAGUGUGGUCAAGGUAGGCGGAAUGUGUAAUGUAGCGGUGAAAUGCUUAGAUAUUACACAGAACACCAAUUGCGAAGGCAGCUUACUGGGCCAUUACUGACGCUCAUGCACGAAAGCGUGGGGAGCAAACAGGAUUAGAAACCCUAGUAGUCC
Molecule: ribosomal RNA, 445 nt
Filed under: uncultured bacterium
Lineage: Bacteria
Description: bacterial SSU rRNA
Rfam family: Bacterial small subunit ribosomal RNA
Source: RNAcentral